This 229-nucleotide ribosomal RNA is filed under the name uncultured bacterium. RNAcentral's name for it is "partial 16S ribosomal RNA". It matches the Rfam family "Bacterial small subunit ribosomal RNA", at positions 568 to 796 of the family's 1533-position model. The record is from RNAcentral.
UACGUAGGCGGAAUAUUAAGUCAGUGGUGAAAUCCUGCGGCUCAACCGUAGAACUGCCAUUAAUACUGAUAUUCUUGAAUGUAGUUGAGGUAGGCGGAAUGUGUAAUGUAGCGGUGAAAUGCUUAGAUAUUACACAGAACACCGAUUGCGAAGGCAGCUUACUAAACUAUGAUUGACGCUGAUGUACGAAAGCGUGGGGAGCGAACAGGAUUAGAUACCCUGGUAGUCC